RNAcentral lists this ribosomal RNA (1180 nucleotides) under uncultured bacterium. Its description in RNAcentral is "bacterial SSU rRNA". It matches the Rfam family "Bacterial small subunit ribosomal RNA", at positions 8 to 1230 of the family's 1533-position model. The record is from RNAcentral.
AGAGUUUGAUCCUGGCUCAGGAUGAACGCUGGCGGUAUGCCUAACACAUGCAAGUCGUACGAGAGUUUUUAACUCUAGUGGCGGACGGGUGAGUAACACGUGAGAAUUUGCCUUUAGGAGGGGGAUAACAAUUGGAAACGAAUGCUAAUACCCCAUAUGCUUUCGAGUGAAAUGGAUUUAUAUUAUCCGCCUAGAGAGAAGCUCGCGGCUGAUUAGCUUGUUGGUAAGGUAAGAGCUUACCAAGGCGACGAUCAGUAUCUGGUUUGAGAGGACGAUCAGACACACUGGAACUGAGACACGGUCCAGACUCCUACGGGAGGCAGCAGUGGGGAAUUUUCCGCAAUGGGCGAAAGCCUGACGGAGCAAUACCGCGUGAGGGAAGACUGCCUAUGGGUUGUAAACCUCUUUUUUCAGGGAGGAAUAAAAUGACGUGUACCUGAAGAAUAAGCAUCGGCUAACUCCGUGCCAGCAGCCGCGGUAAGACGGAGGAUACAAGUGUUAUCCGGAAUCACUGGGCGUAAAGCGUCUGUAGGUGGUUUAAUAAGUCAACUGUUAAAUCUUGAGGCUCAACUUCAAAAUCGCAGUCGAAACUAUUAGACUAGAGUAUAGUAGAGGUAAAGGGAAUUUCCAGUGGAGCGGUGAAAUGCGUAGAUAUUGGAAAGAACACCGAUGGCGAAAGCACUUUACUGGGCUAUUACUAACACUCAGAGACGAGAGCUAGGGUAGCAAAUGGGAUUAGAUACCCCAGUAGUCCUAGCCGUAAACUAUGGAUACUAGAUGUUGAACAGAUCGACCUGUGCAGUAUCAAAGCUAACGCGUUAAGUAUCCCGCCUGGGAAGUAUGCGCGCAAGCGUGAAACUCAAAGGAAUUGACGGGGGCCCGCACAAGCGGUGGGGCAUGUGGUUUAAUUCGAUGCAACGCGAAGAACCUUACCAGGGUUUGACAUGAUACGAAUUUUUUUGAAAGAAAAAAUGCCGUUUGGAACGUAUACACAGGUGGUGCAUGGCUGUCCUCACCUCCUGUCCUGAGAAGUUUGGGUUAAUUCCCCCACCAAGCCCACCCCUUAUUUUUAUUUGCCUUUUUUGGAAACUUAAAAAAAUGCUGGUUUUAACCGGAGGAAGGCGGGGAUGAAGUUAAGUCAGAAGGCCCCUUAAACCCCGGGGGCACAAACUUGUUAUCG